GAAGAGGCCUCACUGGGGAGCCAGGAGUUAGUUAUCAUGGUGGUAAUUGCAGAUUUCAAUAAGAGAAGACCCUCUAAGGCAAUGACAUAGUAAGAAGAUGUACAUCUGCAAACCAGGAAGGGAGCCCUCGCCUGACAACUAGAUCUGCCAGCACCUUGAUCUUGGAUUUUCUAGCCUUUAGAACUGCAAAAAAUAAAUGUUUGUUGUUUAAACCA
Molecule: long non-coding RNA, 215 nt
Organism: Homo sapiens (human)
Lineage: Eukaryota; Metazoa; Chordata; Mammalia; Primates; Hominidae
Exons: 2
Source: RefSeq, a predicted model, not a curated record